RNAcentral lists this ribosomal RNA (493 nucleotides) under uncultured bacterium. RNAcentral's name for it is "bacterial SSU rRNA". It matches the Rfam family "Bacterial small subunit ribosomal RNA", at positions 1037 to 1529 of the family's 1533-position model. The record is from RNAcentral.
GGUGGUGCAUGGUUGUCGUCAGCUCGUGUCGUGAGAUGUUGGGUUAAGUCCCGCAACGAGCGCAACCCUUAAGCUUAGUUGCCAUCAUUAAGUUGGGCACUCUAGGUUGACUGCCGGUGACAAACCGGAGGAAGGUGGGGAUGACGUCAAAUCAUCAUGCCCCUUAUGAUUUAGGCUACACACGUGCUACAAUGGACAAUACAAAGGGCAGCUAAACCGCGAGGUCAUGCAAAUCCCAUAAAGUUGUUCUCAGUUCGGAUUGUAGUCUGCAACUCGACUACAUGAAGCUGGAAUCGCUAGUAAUCGUAGAUCAGCAUGCUACGGUGAAUACGUUCCCGGGUCUUGUACACACCGCCCGUCACACCACGAGAGUUUGUAACACCCGAAGCCGGUGGAGUAACCAUUUAUGGAGCUAGCCGUCGAAGGUGGGACAAAUGAUUGGGGUGAAGUCGUAACAAGGUAGCCGUAUCGGAAGGUGCGGUUGGAUCACCUC